CAGUCGCCACGGGAACACGUAGGGUGCAAGCGUUAAUCGGAAUUACUGGGCGUAAAGCGUGCGCAGGCGGUUAUAUAAGUCAGAUGUGAAAUCCCCGGGCUCAACCUGGGAACUGCAUUUGAGACUGUAUGGCUAGAGUGUGUCAGAGGGGGGUAGGAUUCCACGUGUAGCAGUGAAAUGCGUAGAUAUGUGGAGGAAUAUCGAUGGCGAAGGCAGCCCCCUGGGAUAACACUGACGCUCAUGCACGAAAGCGUGGGGAGCAAACAGGAUUAGAUACCCCGGUAGUCCCUGUCUCUUAUAC
Molecule: ribosomal RNA, 301 nt
Filed under: uncultured bacterium
Lineage: Bacteria
Description: partial 16S ribosomal RNA
Rfam family: Bacterial small subunit ribosomal RNA
Source: RNAcentral